CAAUAGCGUAUAUUAAAGUUGUUGCGGUAAAAAAGCUCGUAGUUGGAUUUCUGUUGAGAGCGACCGGUCCAUACCAUGUAUGCGUAUCUGGCUUGCUCUCGGCAUCCUCUCGAUAGACGUUACUGCGCUUGAUUGCGUGGUGCGGAUCUCGGGACUUUUACUUUGAGGAAAUUAGAGUGUUCACGGCAGGCUUUCGCCAGAAUACAUUAGCAUGGAAUAAUACUAUAGGAUCUUGGUUCUAUUUUGUUGGUUUCUAGAAUUGGGAUAAUGAUUAAUAGGGACAAUUGGGGGCAUUCGUAUCAACACGUCAGAGGUGGAAUUCUUGGAUUGUGUUGCGACGAACUACUGCGAAAGCAUUUGCCAAGGAUGUUUUCAUUGA
This 379-nucleotide ribosomal RNA is filed under the name uncultured eukaryote. RNAcentral's name for it is "partial 18S ribosomal RNA". It matches the Rfam family "Eukaryotic small subunit ribosomal RNA", at positions 592 to 976 of the family's 1831-position model. The record is from RNAcentral.